GAUGACGACGCCAUCAAGAAGCUGGACGAGAUGAAGAAGAGAUUGAAGGAGAUGGAGGAGGAAGCAGCUGCUCUUCGCGAAAUGCAAGCCAAGGUAGAAAAGGAAAUGGGCGCCGUUCAAGAUCCUGCUGGUUCGGCUGUAAGUCAAGAAAGCAAAGAAGAGGCAGAUUCGCGAUCUGUAUUUGUUGGCAACGUGAGAUGAGAUCUAUGGUCUUGAUAUAAGCACGUUAUUCUUCGUGUAGUUGGUCAAAUGCUAUUUCACAAGCAUGCUGAUCUUGAUAAUAUUUCUUUUGCAACCUGACAAAUUUAGUUUACACUACUUGCUAAGUUGUUUG
Long non-coding RNA from Cucumis melo (muskmelon), 334 nucleotides. RefSeq lists it as uncharacterized. Lineage: Eukaryota; Viridiplantae; Streptophyta; Magnoliopsida; Cucurbitales; Cucurbitaceae. The transcript is spliced from 3 exons. The record is from RefSeq and is a predicted model, not a curated record.